RNAcentral lists this long non-coding RNA (3461 nucleotides) under Homo sapiens (human). Its description in RNAcentral is "HSALNT0335031". Lineage: Eukaryota; Metazoa; Chordata; Mammalia; Primates; Hominidae. The record is from RNAcentral.
GACUUUCUCGACUCGUCGUCAGCCGGGGCCGCAGCGCGGCCGGUGGGGACUGCGGGGCGGGCCGGAGUCCGUCCGAGGGCUCCCGCACCUCGGGCUGCGGGUGAGUCGGCUUUAGGCGCCGUGGGCUCAAGUGGUUUAGGGCACCUGGGCUUGGGAAGAAGUCGUGGAGAGAGCCUUUAAUACUUUAUGGAGCUGGCGGGGAGAACAAAUAAAAUUGCGGUAGCUUGAAGGGCACUGACAUGCCACUGACUUGGGAACCGUAUCCGUGGGAACUCUUCGGGUGCCGGCGCGACCAAGGGCCUGUGCGCGGCUGGGUGGGAGAUGGAAAGGUUAGAAGGUCGCGGACUAGCCCUGCCUGCGACUGGCUCAGCUUGACCUUGGACCAGUGACUUUACCACUUAGAUUUUUCUCGUGGGUAAUAUGUGGGGCCACAGCAACGUGGUCUAUGCUGUCGUCCAGUUUUUAGACUACAUCUCCGUUUUUGAGAUUUUCCUAGGGCCUCAACACGGUGCGCGAGUUAUCAAGCGAUAGGCCAGGAUAUGUUUACAUGCGCCUGGAUUCACCUUUCAGCCUACUCAGAAGUAACUUUUAAGUCUGAUGUUUUAAAACACUAACAUUUAAAGGCUUUCCUUCACUAUCCAUUGCUUAUUUUACGAACCUUAGGAUUGUCGUAUUUUGCUGCACCAUUUGGAAUCCUAGGGGCCAGGGUGGGGACAGAGAGCCAAGUCUGAGGGUGAAGUGGCAGGUGCCCCCGGGCGAUCCCUGCCGGAUCCAGUUGAGGGGGAGAACAAAGCAUUUAUUAUGCAUAAGAGAGAGUGAACAGGGCAGGUGUUUGUGUUUUUGUUUUCUGUAUUAUACUGAAAACUUUUUUUGGUUGGGGGGGUGCGGGCAGUGGAGGAGGGGACAAAGAAGAAAAAGAAAUGUCAAAAAAGAGAGGAAAAUGUCACUUAUACCCAAAGUAAAUCUUAAAACUAAUGUAAGUCUUCCUUACAGGAACAGCAACACAUAAUGCAAGUACAUCUUGAUCUAAUUUUAAUGAAGGAUUGAAAAUAGCUACUGUGUUCAGUAUUACUGACGCCAAGGCAGCUCACUUACAUAAUCUUCUUUGUUGAGAUGUGUUAGUGGCAUGUAUAAUUUUGAUAAAUAAUUAAUGUUAAAGGUUUAGUCCGGCAAUGGUAUUGAAAUAUUGUCGUCACAGAUUGUAUUGCAAGACAAUGGUGUGUAAACUUUUGGUUAUCAUGAUAACCUGCAUUUUUUUCUCUAAACAGUAAAAUCACACAUUUUUCAUAACCAAAAUUCUCUUAAAUAAUGCAUGUGUACUUUGUCAGUAGUGUAUACAGGAGAAAUUAUUUUGUUCUGUAAAUGACAAAGUCUUUCAGUUUUCUCACCAUUUCAUGAGAGUGAAUUCUAGAUUUCAGGUACUCCACUGGGCAUUUUCUCUUCAUGGAGCUUAUAGCAACAAAAGUGUUUUACAAAAGUAAGUGCAUAAGUAUAGAUACUCAACCAAUAUUUGCUGAAUAAAAUACUCAGAUGACAAUAAUUAAAAGUCCAUCUUGUUCAUCCUUAAAGAGAAUGAUGAUCAUGCUUUAGUGGAGAGAAUGAAAGUAUCAAAGAAAGAACUGGCAGAAAAACAGAGCUUAGUUCCAGUAUCUAGCCUAAAUGUUUAUGCUUUAAAACAGGUAUACGCAUUUGAAAAGAGACAAAGACAAGUGAUAGGGUUUCUAGGAGAAAGAUAGCAGUAUUGAUUUAACGUAGUACAUUUUAUGACCUAGUUUUGUUUGAAGAACACGAACGUUUGUAAAGGUAUAUUUCUUAAAUAAUCAGUAGCUGUUUGCAUUGUGAUUGGAUGUCUAAUUAAAUGGCCUAAUCGUAACCAUAAUAUCUCACUUGAAUGCUGUUUUUAAAUUCAUUUUUAAAAUAGCUUGAAAUAAACCAAUUUAGUUACAUGAAGGAAAGUAUACCUUUUGAAAUCAAAAUCCACAGUGAGGAAAAAUUAUUGUCAGUGUAUCACCAAAUGUAAAUUAAGCACUGGAAGUAGCAUCUUGCCAAGAAGGUCUUCACUCUAGACAAUCACUUUGUGUAGAAGAGGUAUAAUGUGGAAUGUGGACUGCAGUGAGAGAUGCCCUUAUUCCUCUGAGGGUCUAUUUGGUGACAUCAGGAAAAUACUAACGCCCCCCCACCACUUCACCAUUUGUAAACCUGGCAACUUCUGGAAAGCCUAGUGGCCUUAUUUCAAAGUAACCACUCAACCUAGAACUUAGCAUUGAUAUUUGAACAGGCUAUUUUUGUAGAAUAUGGGUUCUCCUCUGUGCAGAUUUGCUGGCUGGGCUAUCUUGUAAGAGAUCACAGCAGUUUAUCUCAGAGUGUAGUCCUUAGAUCACCUGUGUCAGAAUCACCUGUAGUGCUUACAAAACUUCAAAAUCCUGGGCACAUCCCACAUUUACAUAAUCAGAAUGUCUGUGAACAGAACCUAGAAUUUCUGUUCAUAAAACCCAUUUAUGCCUAGUGUUCCAUUAUUGGAAUGCUGAGCUUGUGGGAGUUAUUUAUAUCCUACGGCUCGAGGUCAUUGCCAAGGUCUGAUUUUUCGCAAAAAAAUGUGCAACCUCUGGCAUAAAUGGGUUAAUGAACUCCUUCAGAAGUGAGAGUUAAUUACACUAAAUUUUAAGAAUUAGUGUUAGAGUUUUCUUGCCACAGUUGUAAUGCUCAUGUUGCUUUCUUCCAGGAACAUUAAAAUCUCCCCAGAUGCUCACUGCUCUGAUCAUUUCCCCUACAGCACCAGACAUGUUGGCAUCAUCUCUUAGUUGGGCCAUGUGGCCAGGGAACCCUUCAUGAAACCACCUCUGCAGUCCUGGAGAGUUGCUGUAGAAGAAGGAAAAGAGAGGAAGACAACACAACACAGGAGGGGAUAAGUACCUCUGGACACAAUGGAAGUAGUAGUUGUUGAGCAGAGGGAAAGGGAUAGGAGAAGGAUGUGGACUGCAGUGCUGCAGUGCCAGAGCCCCAGCAGCUACUAUUAAUGAGUGUCUGGAAUAUGUUCCUGGCAUUUCACCUACCCUCUCUCCAAUCCUUCCAAGAAACUCACAAAGCAGGGCUUUUUCUUGAACUUCUCUUCCUCACAACAGUUAAAUCAUCCAUUUAAAGAUGUCAAACAACCUCCGUGUUCUAAGAACUAUUUACUGAGCUCUACGGAGACACAGCUACAAGCACCACAUGCUGGACCCCUGAAUAUGGAGGGCCAACUACACUAGAAACACACACGCUAGCUGAGAAAGAUGGUGGCUUAAGGAGAUCACCAGUUUGUAGUAGAGGCCCACUCUCGGAAGGUUUGGUAAAAAGUUGUUUUGAAUCAUAAUGUUGGCUUUAUUGGCAUGUUGAAACCAUUUACCUCUGUAAUUUUCCAUUUGUUUUCCUUUCCAACUACCACUCCUCCUGCCUGAUAAAUAAAUACCAUUGCAAGAUUA